GAUGAACGUUGGCGGCGUGCCUAAUACAUGCAAGUCGAACGAAGACUGUAGUAAUACUGUCUUAGUGGCGAACGGGUGAGUAACGCGUGGGUGACCUGCCCCGAAGUGUGGGAUAACAGUUCGAAAGAACUGCUAAUACCGCAUAACAUCCAAGAGAUUAGAAGCUUUUGGAUUAAAGGAGUAAUUCGCUUCGGGAGGGGCCCGCGUCCCAUCAGCUAGUUGGUAAGGUAAUGGCUUACCAAGGCGAUGACGGGUAGGGGACCUGAGAGGGUGGCCCCCCACAAUGGAACUGAAACACGGUCCAUACACCUACGGGUGGCAGCAGUAGGGAAUAUUAGUAAUGGGCGAAAGCCUGAACUAGCAACGCCGCGUGUGCGAAGAAGGCCUUCGGGUGUAAAGCACUUUUUGAGAGGAUGAGGAAGGACGGUACUCUCAGAAUAAGUCUCGGCUAACUACGUGCCAGCAGCCGCGGUAAUCGUAGCGUG
Molecule: ribosomal RNA, 485 nt
Filed under: uncultured bacterium
Lineage: Bacteria
Description: bacterial SSU rRNA
Rfam family: Bacterial small subunit ribosomal RNA
Source: RNAcentral